RNAcentral lists this ribosomal RNA (695 nucleotides) under uncultured bacterium. RNAcentral's name for it is "bacterial SSU rRNA". It matches the Rfam family "Bacterial small subunit ribosomal RNA", at positions 32 to 715 of the family's 1533-position model. The record is from RNAcentral.
AACGCUAGCUACAGGCUUAACACAUGCAAGUCGAGGGGCAUCAUGGUGGUUGCUUGCGACCGCUGAUGGCGACCGGCGCACGGGUGAGUAACGCGUAUCCAACCUUCCCAUGACUAAGGGAUAACCGGUAGAAAUGCCGACUAAUACCUUAUAUUGUUCUUCCAUGGCAUCAGCAGAGAACUAAAGAUUUAUCGGUUAUGGAUGGGGAUGCGUCUGAUUAGGUAGUAGGCGGGGUAACGGCCCACCUAGUCAGCGAUGGAUAGGGGUUCUGAGAGGAAGGUCCCCCACAUUGGAACUGAGACACGGUCCAAACUCCUACGGGAGGCAGCAGUGAGGAAUAUUGGUCAAUGGGCGCGAGCCUGAACCAGCCAAGUAGCGUGAAGGAUGACUGCCCUAUGGGUUGUAAACCUCUUUUAUAAGGGAAUAAAAUACGGGACGUGUCCUGUUUUGCAUGUACCUUAUGAAUAAGGACCGGCUAAUUCCGUGCCAGCAGCCGCGGUAAUACGGAAGGUCCGGGCGUUAUCCGGAUUUAUUGGGUUUAAAGGGAGCGCAGGCGGUCUUAUAAGCGUGACGUGAAAUGCAGCGGCUCAACCGUAUGAUGUGCGUCGCGAACUGUGAGACUUGAGUGUAUUCGAUGUCAGCGGAAUUUGUGGUGUAGCGGUGAAAUGCUUAGAUAUCACGAAGAACUCCGAUUG